Molecule: ribosomal RNA, 1828 nt
Filed under: Scolelepis lingulata
Lineage: Eukaryota; Metazoa; Annelida; Polychaeta; Spionida; Spionidae
Description: SSU rRNA
Source: RNAcentral
GCCAGUAGUCAUAUGCUUGUCUCAAAGAUUAAGCCAUGCAUGUCUAAGUACGAGCCUCCAACAAGGUGAAACCGCGAAUGGCUCAUUAAAUCAGUUAUGGUUCCUUAGAUCGUAUCCAACCCUACUUGGAUAACUGUAGUAAUUCUAGAGCUAAUACAUGCCUCGAAGCUCCGACCCUCCCCCGAGGGGAAGAGCGCUUUUAUUAGACCAAAACCGACGUCGGUCCCGUCAAAAGGACCGUCUCGCCCUUGGUGACUCUGGAUAACUUUGUGCCGAUCGCACGGCCUCCGCGCCGGCGACGUAUCUUUCAAAUGUCUGCCCUAUCAAGUUUCGACGGUUGGCGACCUGCCCACCGUGCUCGUAACGGGUAGCGGGGAAUCAGGGUUCGAUUCCGGAGAGGGAGCACGAGAAACGGCUACCACUUCCAAGGAAGGCAGCAGGCGCGCAAAUUACCCACUCCUAGCUCGGGGAGGUAGUGACGAAAAAUAACGAUGCGGGACUCUAACGAGGCCCCGUAAUCGGAAUGAGUACACUUUAAAUCCUUUAACGAGGAUCUAUUGGAGGGCAAGUCUGGUGCCAGCAGCCGCGGUAAUUCCAGCUCCAAUAGCGUAUAUUAAAGUUGUUGCAGUUAAAAAGCUCGUAGUUGGAUCUCGGUUGCGGGUCGGCGGUCCCCCUCGCGGGGGUUUCUACUGCCGGUUCUCCCGCAUCCCUCUCAGCCGGCGUCUUUGGCCCCUGUGCUCUUCGCCGAGUGGCAGGGGACGGCCGGAUCGUUUACUUUGAAAAAAUUAGAGUGUUCAAAGCAGGCUCGCUACGCCUGAAUACUGGUGCAUGGAAUAAUGGAACAGGACCUCGGUUCUAUUUUGKUGGUUUUCGGAAGUCGAGGUAAUGAUUAAGAGGGACGGUCGGGGGCACUCGUAUUGCGCCGUUAGAGGUGAAAUUCUUGGAUCGGUGCAAGACGAACUGCGGCGAAGGCGUCUGCCAAGCACGUCUUCAUUAAUCAAGAGCGACAGUCAGAGGUUCGAAGACGAUCAGAUACCGUCGUAGUUCUGACCAUAAACGAUGCCAGCUGGGGAUUCGAGGGCGUUGAAUUCAAUGACGACUCCUCGAGCACCCUCCGGGAAACCAAAGCUUUUGGGUUCCGGGGGAAGUAUGGUUGCAAAGCUGAAACUUAAAGGAAUUGACGGAAGGGCACCACCAGGAGUGGAGCCUGCGGCUUAAUUUGACUCAACACGGGGAAACUCACCCGGCCCGGACACCGUAAGGAUUGACAGAUCGAGAGCUCUUUCUUGAUUCGGUGGGUGGUGGUGCAUGGCCGUUCUUAGUUGGUGGAGCGAUUUGUCUGGUUAAUUCCGAUAACGAACGAGACUCUAGCCUAUUAAAUAGUUGCCUCUUACUCGAGGUCUGGUACUCGUUACCUUUCCUCACGAGAGGGGCCCAACUUCUUAGAGGGACAAGUGGCGUUCAGCCACGCGAGAUUGAGCAAUAACAGGUCUGUGAUGCCCUUAGAUGUUCGGGGCCGCACGCGCGCUACACUGAAGGAAUCAACAGGUGUUCCGUCCCCGCCUGAAAAGGUCGGGUAAUCCUUUGAACCUCCUUCGUGCUAGGGAUUGGGGCUUGCAAUUGUUCCCCAUGAACGAGGAAUUCCCAGUAGGCGCGAGUCAUCAGCUUGCGUCGAUUACGUCCCUGCCCUUUGUACACACCGCCCGUCGCUACUACCGAUUGGAUGGUUUAGUGAGACCCUCGGAUCGGCCCCUGCUUCUGCCGGCAACGACGGGAGCUGCGGUUUUGCCGAGAAGACGGUCGAACUUGACUAUCUAGAGGAAGUAAA